GAUGAGAACGCAGCGAAAUGCGAUAAGUAAUGUGAAUUGCAGAAUUCAGUGAAUCAUCGAAUCUUUGAACGCACCUUGCGCUCCUUGGUAUUCCGAGGAGCAUGCCUGUUUGAGUGUCAUUAAAUUCUCAACCAUUAUCAACUUUUGCUGAUAAUGGCUUGGAUGUGGGGGUCUAUUUUGCUGGCUUCUCAGAUAGUCAGCUCCCCUUAAAUGCAUUAGCCGGUGCCCCGCGUGGACUGUCUAUUGGUGUGAUAAUUAUCUACGCUAUGGACAUCUGCAAUCAUAUGGGUUUGCGCUGCUUCUAACAGUCUGUUGAUUCAGACAAUACAUGACAAUUUGACCUCAAAUCAGGUAGGACUACCCGCUGAACUUAAGCAUAUCAAUAAGCGGAGGA
Molecule: unclassified non-coding RNA, 394 nt
Filed under: soil metagenome
Description: partial contains 5.8S ribosomal RNA, internal transcribed spacer 2, and large subunit ribosomal RNA
Rfam family: 5.8S ribosomal RNA (bases 5-119)
Source: RNAcentral